GUGGGGAAUAUUGCGCAAUGGGCGAAAGCCUGACGCAGCGACGCCGCGUGAGGGAUGAAGGUUUUCGGAUCGUAGACCUCUGUCAGAAGGGAAGAAACUACGUUGUGCUAAUCAGCAGCGUACUGACGGUACCUUCAAAGGAAGCACCGGCUAACUCCGUGCCAGCAGCCACGGUAAUACGGAGGGUGCAAGCGUUAAUCGGAAUUACUGGGCGUAAAGCGCACGUAGGCUGUAGUGUAAGUCAGGGGUGAAAUCCCACGGCUCAACCGUGGAACUGCCUUUGAUACUGCACAACUUGAAUCCGGGAGAGGGUGGCGGAAUUCCAGGUGUAGGAGUGAAAUCCGUAGAUAUCUGGAGGAACAUCAGUGGCGAAGGCGGCCACCUGGACCGGUAUUGACGCUGAGGUGCGAAAGCGUGGGGAGCAAACAGGAUUAGAAACCCCUGUAGUCC
This 450-nucleotide ribosomal RNA is filed under the name uncultured bacterium. Its description in RNAcentral is "partial 16S ribosomal RNA". It matches the Rfam family "Bacterial small subunit ribosomal RNA", at positions 354 to 796 of the family's 1533-position model. The record is from RNAcentral.